Molecule: ribosomal RNA, 497 nt
Filed under: uncultured bacterium
Lineage: Bacteria
Description: partial 16S ribosomal RNA
Rfam family: Bacterial small subunit ribosomal RNA
Source: RNAcentral
GAUGAACGCUGGCGGCGUGCCUAAUACAUGCAAGUCGAGCGAACAGACGAGGAGCUUGCUCCUCUGACGUUAGCGGCGGACGGGUGAGUAACACGUGGAUAACCUACCUAUAAGACUGGGAUAACUUCGGGAAACCGGAGCUAAUACCGGAUAAUAUAUUGAACCGCAUGGUUCAAUAGUGAAAGACGGUUUUGCUGUCACUUAUAGAUGGAUCCGCGCCGCAUUAGCUAGUUGGUAAGGUAACGGCUUACCAAGGCGACGAUGCGUAGCCGACCUGAGAGGGUGAUCGGCCACACUGGAACUGAGACACGGUCCAGACGCCUACGGGAGGCAGCAGUAGGGAAUCUGCCGCAAUGGGCGAAAGCCUGACGGAGCAACGCCGCGUGAGUGAUGAAGGUCUUCGGAUCGUAAAACUCUGUUAUUAGGGAAGAACAAAUGUGUAAGUAACUAUGCACGUCUUGACGGUACCUAAUCAGAAAGCCACGGCUAACUACGUG